ACUCCUACGGGAGGCAGCAGUAGGGAAUCUUCCGCAAUGGACGCAAGUCUGACGGAGCAACGCCGCGUGAGUGACGAAGGUUUUCGGAUCGUAAAACUCUGUUGUGAGGGAAGAACACGUACCAAUUAACUACUGGUACCUUGACGGUACCUCACCAGAAAGCCACGGCUAACUACGUGCCAGCAGCCGCGGUAAUACGUAG
Molecule: ribosomal RNA, 202 nt
Filed under: uncultured bacterium
Lineage: Bacteria
Description: partial 16S ribosomal RNA
Rfam family: Bacterial small subunit ribosomal RNA
Source: RNAcentral